RNAcentral lists this ribosomal RNA (551 nucleotides) under uncultured bacterium. RNAcentral's name for it is "bacterial SSU rRNA". It matches the Rfam family "Bacterial small subunit ribosomal RNA", at positions 355 to 896 of the family's 1533-position model. The record is from RNAcentral.
UAGGGAGUCUUCGGCAAUGGGGGGAACCCUGACCGAGCAACGCCGCGUGAGUGAAGAAGGUUUUCGGAUCGUAAAGCUCUGUUGUUAAGGAAGAACGAGUGUGAGAAUGGAAAGUUCAUACUGUGACGGUACUUAACCAGAAAGGGACGGCUAACUACGUGCCAGCAGCCGCGGUAAUACGUAGGUCCCGAGCGUUGUCCGGAUUUAUUGGGCGUAAAGCGAGCGCAGGCGGUUAGAUAAGUCUGAAGUUAAAGGCAGUGGCUCAACCAUUGUAGGCUUUGGAAACUGUUUAACUUGAGUGCAGAAGGGGAGAGUGGAAUUCCAUGUGUAGCGGUGAAAUGCGUAGAUAUAUGGAGGAACACCGGUGGCGAAAGCGGCUCUCUGGUCUGUAACUGACGCUGAGGCUCGAAAGCGUGGGGAGCGAACAGGAUUAGAUACCCUGGUAGUCCACGCCGUAAACGAUGAGUGCUAGGUGUUAGGUCCUUUCCGGGACUUAGUGCCGCAGCUAACGCAUUAAGCACUCCGCCUGGGGGAGUACGACCGCAAGGUUG